RNAcentral lists this ribosomal RNA (904 nucleotides) under Taeniolella sp. RNAcentral describes it as "partial large subunit ribosomal RNA". It matches the Rfam family "Eukaryotic large subunit ribosomal RNA", at positions 37 to 961 of the family's 3401-position model. Lineage: Eukaryota; Fungi; Ascomycota; Dothideomycetes; Kirschsteiniotheliales. The record is from RNAcentral.
AGCAUAUCAAUAAGCGGAGGAAAAGAAACCAACAGGGAUUGCCCUAGUAACGGCGAGUGAAGCGGCAACAGCUCAAAUUUGAAAUCUGUCCCUCUCAGGGUCCGAGUUGUAAUUUGCAGAGGGUGCUUUGGCGUUGGCUGUGGUCUAAGUUCCUUGGAACAGGACGUCACAGAGGGUGAGAAUCCCGUACGUGGCCGCCGGCCUUCGCCGUGUAAAGCCCCUUCGACGAGUCGAGUUGUUUGGGAAUGCAGCUCUAAAUGGGAGGUAAAUUUCUUCUAAAGCUAAAUAUUUGCCAGAGACCGAUAGCGCACAAGUAGAGUGAUCGAAAGAUGAAAAGCACUUUGGAAAGAGAGUCAAAAAGCACGUGAAAUUGUUGAAAGGGAAGCGCUUGCAGCUAGACGUGCCUCGGGUUGAUCAGCCGGACUUUUGCCCGGUGCACUCUUCCUUUGGCAGGCCAGCAUCAGUUUGGGCGGCUGGAUAAAGGUCUGUUAAACGUGACUUCCUUCGGGGAGAGCUUAUAGGGCAGACGACAUGCAGCCAGCCUGAACUGAGGUCCGCGCAUCUGCUAGGAUGCUGGCGUAAUAGCUGUAAGCGGCCCGUCUUGAAACACGGACCAAGGAGUCUAACAUCUAUGCGAGUGUUUGGGUGUCAAGCCCGAGCGCGCAAUGAAAGUAAACGGAGGUGGGAACCCUUGGGUGCACCAUCGACCGAUCCUGAUGUCUUCGGAUGGAUUUGAGUAAGAGCAUAGCUGUUGGGACCCGAAAGAUGGUGAACUAUGCCUGAAUAGGGUGAAGCCAGAGGAAACUCUGGUGGAGGCUCGCAGCGGUUCUGACGUGCAAAUCGAUCGUCAAAUUUGGGCAUAGGGGCGAAAGACUAAUCGAACUAUCUAGUACCUGGUUCCUGC